Molecule: long non-coding RNA, 564 nt
Organism: Gasterosteus aculeatus aculeatus (three-spined stickleback)
Lineage: Eukaryota; Metazoa; Chordata; Actinopteri; Perciformes; Gasterosteidae
Source: Ensembl
GUUGACUGUUUUGCCCUCUGAGAGUUUGCAUGCCUCGACGGCUUGGGCUGAGAAGUGACCUGGGAGGAUCCGGAACAGAGGCCCUCUGAGUCAGAAACCGAGAAACCAAACGAUCACUGUUUGAUUCAAAACCUAAAAGGUGUCUGUCGGCGCAGAGUGGCGACAGAGUGCUCCGUGCUCCUGUUUGCUCUUUGGUCCUCUCAACCGGUGGUAGAUAUCUUCCUGCCGUGUGGGUCUUUCUCUCCCUCCCUCUCCCUGUGCAGGUUCGACCUGGGAAACAGGUACGUGACUUUAAAACUAGCUUCCAAAAAGCUUUGACAUGUAGCUUGGCAAUGCUAACUCAAUGUUCAUUGACAGGGAAUGCUCAUCAGCUGGCCGAAAUCCAUAGGUGGUGAUUGAUGUGACAGCACCAUCAGUUGAUUGGGGCCACUGCUGCUUUGACUGCUGCUUUGCCUGCUGCUUUGACUGCUUUGACUGCUGCUUUGACAACUUAGUCUGCUGCUACAUGUAAUCUUGUCGGUAACUGUCUGCACUGUUAAAUGCUGCUAAGUGCACAGUUUGGUC